Molecule: transfer RNA, 71 nt
Filed under: Camelus bactrianus (Bactrian camel)
Lineage: Eukaryota; Metazoa; Chordata; Mammalia; Artiodactyla; Camelidae
Also listed under: 2 other names
Rfam family: tRNA
About the family: Transfer RNA (tRNA) molecules are approximately 80 nucleotides in length.
Source: Rfam by way of RNAcentral
UAUAUAUAGCUCAGUGGUAGAGUGCAUGCUUAGCAUGCAUGAAGUCUUGGGUUCAAUCCCCAUUAAAAUAA